GAGUAAAGGAGCAUGUAGUUCAUCCGGAGCAACAUCUUCCAAGUCAAGUACUCUGGGACCGAGUGCACUGAAGACGAUAGGAAGUUCAGCAUCAGUGAAACGAAAAGAAUCUUCCCAGAGCUCAGCUCAGUCUAAAGAAAAGAAGAAAAAGAAAUCUGCACUGGAUGAAAUCAUGGAGAUUGAAGAGGAAAAGAAAAGAACUGCCCGAACAGACUACUGGCUACAGCCUGAAAUUAUUGUGAAAAUUAUAACCAAGAAACUGGGAGAGAAAUAUCAUAAGAAAAAGGCUAUUGUUAAGGAAGUAAUCGACAAAUAUACAGCUGUUGUGAAGAUGAUUGAUUCUGGAGACAAGCUGAAACUUGACCAGACUCAUUUAGAGACAGUAAUUCCAGCACCAGGUGUCUUUGCCUUUUGGAAACUUAUCUGUAUCUGAGUACAAGCACUACUUUGACCAAGUUGUUUACCUCUGACUCAAAAUCUUCCUGGGGGUGUCAUUGCCAACGUAGUGAUAACAUCAGUCUCUGGAACUUCCAAUUAUCAUAUUCUUUAUUCUUUUUCCCCCUAAAGUAAAAAUUCUUUUUACAGAUUAGAAAAAUUUGUGUUAGCUUUAUUG
This 613-nucleotide small RNA is filed under the name Pongo abelii (Sumatran orangutan). RNAcentral's name for it is "processed transcript". The record is from RNAcentral. Lineage: Eukaryota; Metazoa; Chordata; Mammalia; Primates; Hominidae.